UACGGGGGGAGCAAGCGUUGUUCGGAUUUACUGGGCGUAAAGGGCGCGUAGGCGGUCAGCACAAGUCAGUUGUGAAAUCUCCGGGCUUAACCCGGAAAGGUCAACUGAUACUGUGCGACUAGAGUACGGGAGAGGCAAGCGGAAUUCCAGGUGUAGCGGUGAAAUGCGCAGAUAUCAGGAGGAACACCGGUGGCGAAGGCGGAUCUCUGGGCCUUGCCUGACGCUGAGGCGCGAAAGCUAGGGGAGCGAACAGG
RNAcentral lists this ribosomal RNA (254 nucleotides) under uncultured bacterium. RNAcentral describes it as "partial 16S ribosomal RNA". It matches the Rfam family "Bacterial small subunit ribosomal RNA", at positions 524 to 776 of the family's 1533-position model. The record is from RNAcentral.